GUCAACCUACGGGGGGCAGCAGUGGGGUAUAUUGGGCAAUGGAGGAAACUCUGACCCAGCAACGCCGCGUGAGUGAAGAAGGGUUUCGGCACGUAACGCUCUGUUGGUAGUGAAGAAAGAUAGAGGUAGUAACUGGCCUUUAUUUGACGGUAAUUACUUAGAAAGUCACGGCUAACUACGUGCCAGCAGCCGCGGUAAUACGUAGGUGGCAAGCGUUGUCCGGAUUUAUUGGGCGUA
This 237-nucleotide ribosomal RNA is filed under the name uncultured bacterium. Its description in RNAcentral is "partial 16S ribosomal RNA". It matches the Rfam family "Bacterial small subunit ribosomal RNA", at positions 333 to 562 of the family's 1533-position model. The record is from RNAcentral.